UUGAGGUUACGUUAAGGUUAGUUUGAGGUUACGUUAAGGUUAGUUUGAGGUUACGGUAAGGUUAGUUUGAGGUUACGUUAAGGUUAGUUUGAGGUUACGGUAAGGUUAGUUUGAGGUUACGGUUAGUUUGAGUUUACGUUAAGGUUAGUUUGAGGUUACGGUAAGGUUAGUUUGAGGUUACGGUAAGGUUAGUUUGAGGUUACGGUAAGGUUAGUUUGAGGUUACGUUAAGGUUAGUUUGAGGUUACGGUAAGGUUAGUUUGAGGUUACGGUAAGGGUUAGAGUUAGGGAAAGGCUUCAACUUUUGGGCUGGCGCAACUCCACCUCCGUAAAUAUAUCUGCCAGUUAAACAAACACCACCUUAAUCAGAACACAGUAUUAGUAUUAGUCUGUACUGGAACGUAUUGGAAAGUUUCUCCAGUUUAAAAUAUAGCAGUGUCUCCAACUCCACUCCAAGGUAUUCGUUGGCCAAACUGCUGUAGAUGCUGCCAAAGCUAAGCUUCUGCUCUGUGUUUUACUGCUGUUUGCAUGUGCCUCAGUCCUCACUUCUUCACAGCGGUUUCUCCUCUCAUUAAAGGGUUUUAAUCUG
Oncorhynchus masou masou (cherry salmon) is the source of this 588-nucleotide long non-coding RNA. RefSeq lists it as uncharacterized. NCBI's taxonomy places the organism in Eukaryota, Metazoa, Chordata, Actinopteri, Salmoniformes, Salmonidae. The transcript is spliced from 2 exons. The record is from RefSeq and is a predicted model, not a curated record.